AUUUUUGGAGUAAAUCGUCCAAGAUAAAUGUAUGUAUGUAUGUAUGUAUCAAUUUAUAUAGCGCACUAUCGCAUGGAACUGAAUCCCGAUCUAAUGACGCUGUUUCGUUUCCAAUUUGGAAGAUGUGAUUGAACACAUCACCGUAUGUUUAACGUCAUAUCCUUGAAAGCAAUCCAGGAUCCCUGUGUUAUGCGUGCUGCCUUUCUCCACGGCGCGACUGCUACAGGUUUUUGACGGGUUCAGCUGGGUUUCGAAACCAGAGCCUCAUUACCUUAUUUCCAAAGCGUUGACGCUCUAA
RNAcentral lists this long non-coding RNA (298 nucleotides) under Daphnia pulicaria. Its description in RNAcentral is "uncharacterized LOC124321221". Lineage: Eukaryota; Metazoa; Arthropoda; Branchiopoda; Diplostraca; Daphniidae. The record is from RNAcentral.